RNAcentral lists this transfer RNA (85 nucleotides) under Felis catus (domestic cat). It matches the Rfam family "tRNA". From Rfam's summary of the family: Transfer RNA (tRNA) molecules are approximately 80 nucleotides in length. The record is from Rfam by way of RNAcentral. Lineage: Eukaryota; Metazoa; Chordata; Mammalia; Carnivora; Felidae.
GCCUGGGUGGCUCAGUUGUUUAGGCAUCUGACUUCGGUUCAGGUCAUGAUCUCAUUGUCUGUGAGUUCGAGCCCCGCCUCAGGCU